RNAcentral lists this ribosomal RNA (505 nucleotides) under uncultured bacterium. RNAcentral describes it as "partial 16S ribosomal RNA". It matches the Rfam family "Bacterial small subunit ribosomal RNA", at positions 29 to 522 of the family's 1533-position model. The record is from RNAcentral.
AGUGAACGCUGGCGGUAGGCCUAACACAUGCAAGUCGAACGGCAGCACAGGAGAGCUCGCUCUCUGGGUGGCGAGUGGCGGACGGGUGAGGAAUACAUCGGAAUCUACUCUGUCGUGGGGGAUAACGCAGGGAAACUUACGCUAAUACCGCAUACGACCUACGGGUGAAAGCAGGGGAUCUUCGGACCUUGCGCGAUUGAAUGAGCCGAUGUCGGAUUAGCUAGUUGGCGGGGUAAAGGCCCACCAAGGCGACGAUCCGUAGCUGGUCUGAGAGGAUGAUCAGCCACACUGGAACUGAGACACGGUCCAGACUCCUACGGGAGGCAGCAGUGGGGAAUAUUGGACAAUGGGCGCAAGCCUGAUCCAGCCAUACCGCGUGGGUGAAGAAGGCCUUCGGGUUGUAAAGCCCUUUUGUUGGGAAAGAAAUCCAGCUGGUUAAUACCCGGUUGGGAUGACGGUACCCAAAGAAUAAGCACCGGCUAACUUCGUGCCAGCAGCCGCCGAA